GAUGAACGCUAGCUACAGGCUUAACACAUGCAAGUCGAGGGCAGCAUGGUCUUAGCUUGCUAAGGCCGAUGGCGACCGGCGCACGGGUGAGUAACGCGUAUCCAACCUGCCUUACACUCUUGGACAGCCUUCUGGAAAAGGGGAGAUUUAAUACAAGAUGUUAUCAUGAGUAAGCAUUUUCGCAUGAUUAAAGGUUUACCGGUGUAAGAUGGGGAUGCGUUCCAUUAGAUAGUAGGCGGGGUAACGGCCCACCUAGUCUUCGAUGGAUAGGGGUUCUGAGAGGAAGGUCCCCCCACAUUGGAACUGAGACACGGUCCAAACUCCUACGGGAGGCAGCAGUGAGGAAUAUUGGU
This 353-nucleotide ribosomal RNA is filed under the name uncultured bacterium. RNAcentral describes it as "bacterial SSU rRNA". It matches the Rfam family "Bacterial small subunit ribosomal RNA", at positions 28 to 368 of the family's 1533-position model. The record is from RNAcentral.